RNAcentral lists this ribosomal RNA (445 nucleotides) under uncultured bacterium. RNAcentral's name for it is "partial 16S ribosomal RNA". It matches the Rfam family "Bacterial small subunit ribosomal RNA", at positions 354 to 796 of the family's 1533-position model. The record is from RNAcentral.
GUAGGGAAUAUUGGACAAUGGGCGAAAGCCUGAUCCAGCCAUGCCGCGUGAUAGAUGAAGGCCCUCUGGGUUGUAAAUAUCUUUUAUCUGGGAAGAAACUCCUCUAUUCUUAGAGGCCUGACGGUACCAGAGGAAUAAGCACCGGCUAACUCCGUGCCAGCAGCCGCGGUAAUACGGAGGGUGCAAGCGUUAUCCGGAUUCACUGGGUUUAAAUGGUGCGUAGGCGGGUUGAUAAGUCAGUGGUGAAAGCUCCGGGCUUAACUUGGAAACUGCCAUUGAUACUGUCAGUCGUGAAUGUCGUAGAGUUAAGCGGAAUGUUGCAUGUAGCGGUGAAAUGCUUAGAUAUGUUACAGAACACCAAUUGCGAAGGCAGCUUACUAUGCGAUAAUUGACGCUGAGGCACGAAAGCGUGGGGAGCAAACAGGAUUAGAUACCCGAGUAGUCC